Solanum pennellii is the source of this 939-nucleotide long non-coding RNA. RefSeq lists it as uncharacterized. NCBI's taxonomy places the organism in Eukaryota, Viridiplantae, Streptophyta, Magnoliopsida, Solanales, Solanaceae. The transcript has 2 exons. The record is from RefSeq and is a predicted model, not a curated record.
UUUAAAAAAACCAACUUAUUUUAACGUAUAAUUUGCACCAACACUUCUGUUUGAUAAUUCCUACUAGCCGGAGAUCGGAGAACAAUGAAUAGCUUAUUUUUUUUCUCCGGUGGAUUGAGUUCCGCCCCAAUUAAUAGCUGCAAAGAAGAGCCAUAUCUGCGAUCUGGAAGCAUUUCCUGAUUGAAAAUCCAUUAGGUUUUUCAAUGGUUUGUGCAAGAAUGGACAUGCUGAAGAAGCUCUGGUGUUUCUUCAAGAACUGGAAAGGAAGAAUGUUGGCCUAAGCUGUUCAUGUAUGAUGUUGUUAUUUCUGGAUUGUGCAAAAAAGGCAAGCUCGAUAUUCCUCAAGAUAUAUUCAAUAAUUGUGUUUUGAUGGUUUACAUGUCAACGUGAGGUCAUACAAUACAAUGAUAAAUGGCCUAUGCCAGGAGGGUUUGCUAGACGAAGCAAAAGACUUGAUGAGGAAAAUGGAACAAAAUGGUCUUUCACCCGAAAUUUUUUGUUUGUGAUUUUAUUUUGCAAGGAUUUCUUAAAGGGAUAAGUUACAUGAGGUAUUUCCACUUCGGCAGGAAAUGGUUGAUAAGGGUUUCUCUUCUAAUGCACAUACAUUUCAGCUGCUGAUAAAUGUACCUUCAGCUGAAUGUACUCUACUCGACAUGAUCCAGAGAUUAAGACCCAACGAUUGUAAGUGAUUUUGUUCUAAAUUUUGGUAAGGGAACAGGAUGCAGAAGCCACCUGGUUACUGGUUAGAGUUAUGCAGGUAGUAAGGUAGGGAUUCAUUAUUCAUGUAUUAGUUAUCCUAUUUUAUUACCCUGCAUUAUAUGAUAAAAUAAAUUUACUCAUAAAUUAUACAUGUGGGAUUGUAACAAUAAUAACCAAACACCGUACCUGGUGUGCUGAAUUCUAUACAAAGCAACUAAAACCUACCAAAUAUGGUAUUGA